CCCUCAGCAGGCUUCCGUGCUUUCAACUUUUCUCAUUAAAAAGGGACAUUUUUCACAUAGACAUCCACCCUGGAGAAGAAACCAGCAAGCCUGUUCUUUACAGGUUGCUUGGCUAGGAAGUCCUAAGGCUCCUCCCUGCAAAACUGCGGGUGACAGCGAGUGACCCAAUCCCUAAACGAGUGCUUCGUGUAGCCGCAGCCAACUGGACAAAGCAGCAGCUGGACAGGUCACGGAGGUGGAGGUGCCCUUUGAUGACAUUGGGAGCAGUAGAAGAGAAUAACCAAAGAGGGGAAAAAGUGGCCAUGGUAAGUAUUAAAUGUGCCACUGUAAAUCCAGUAUGAGGCAGGUCACUUUAGUCUGCCUGAGAAUUCCUUCAAAGGUCUGUGUUAGACUACCUAAAUGAGGUUUGGGCAUUGGAACACUAAUAAACUAUUUGGGCAGCAUAUAUUCCA
Molecule: long non-coding RNA, 452 nt
Filed under: Phascolarctos cinereus (koala)
Lineage: Eukaryota; Metazoa; Chordata; Mammalia; Diprotodontia; Phascolarctidae
Description: lncRNA (ENSPCIG00000015669.2)
Source: RNAcentral